AAAGAAGACCCUGUUGAGCUUGACUCUAGUCUGACUUUGUGAAGAGACAUGAGAGGUGUAGCAUAAGUGGGAGUUUUGGGACCACUCUUGACUGCAGUUUCGGCUGUAGUUAAGAGCCCUUAACAAUCAUGAAAUACCACUACUCUCAUCGUUUCUUUACUUACACGGUGAAAAGGAAAUUGAGAUAGUGUCUCUCUCUUCUGGACUUCGGUUCAGUUGCAGGAGGCCACCUAUCUCUAGAUUCUAGAGCCAAAUGUGGUUCCAUCCAUAUAUGCUGGAGACACCUAAUUACAUCUUGUUCUUCGGGACUUGGUGUGAUUAAAGACUUUAGUUUGGUUGGUACUUAACCACAUGAUCCUCGCCGUGGACAUUGUCAGGCGGGCAGUUUGACUGGGGCGGUACAUCUGUCAAAAGGUAACGCAGGUGUCCUAAGGCCAGCUCAGUGAGGCCAGAAACCUCACGUAGAGCAAAAGGGCAAAAGCUGGCUUGAUCCAGACUUUCAGUACGAAUACGGACCGCGAAAGCGGGGCCUAUCGAUCCUUUCGAUGAAUGAGAGUUUCAUCCGAGAGGUGUCAGAAAAGUUACCACAGGGAUAACUGGCUUGUGGCAGCCAAGCGUUCAUAGCGACGUUGCUUUUUGAUCCUUCGAUGUCG
RNAcentral lists this ribosomal RNA (653 nucleotides) under Oligonychus coffeae. RNAcentral describes it as "eukaryotic LSU rRNA". It matches the Rfam family "Eukaryotic large subunit ribosomal RNA", at positions 2403 to 2886 of the family's 3401-position model. The record is from RNAcentral. Lineage: Eukaryota; Metazoa; Arthropoda; Arachnida; Trombidiformes; Tetranychidae.